RNAcentral lists this ribosomal RNA (893 nucleotides) under uncultured crenarchaeote. RNAcentral describes it as "bacterial SSU rRNA". It matches the Rfam family "Archaeal small subunit ribosomal RNA", at positions 51 to 923 of the family's 1478-position model. The record is from RNAcentral. Lineage: Archaea; Thermoproteati; Thermoproteota.
AUGCGAGUCGAGCGUCUCUAGCUAUGUUGAGACGCGGCAGACGGCUCAGUAACGCGUGGCUAACCUACCCUCAGGACGAGGAUAACCCGGGAAACUGGGGCUAAUACUCGAUAGGUGAGGAUGUCUGGAAUGACUUCUCACCCAAAGGGCCUUGGAAACAUGCUUUCAAUGUCGCCUGGGGAUGGGGCCGCGUCCGAUCAGGUUGUUGGUGAGGUAACGGCUCACCAAGCCUAUAACCGGUACGGGCCGUGAGAGCGGUAGCCCGGAGAUGGGUACUGAGACAAGGACCCAGGCCCUACGGGGCGCAGCAGUCGCGAAAACUCCGCAAUGCACGAAAGUGUGACGGGGCUACCCCGAGUGCCAUCCGCUGAGGAUGGCUUUUCUUUGGUAUAACUAGCCAGGGGAAUAAGGAGAGGGCAAGACUGGUGUCAGCCGCCGCGGUAAUACCAGCUCUCCGAGUGGUAGGGAUGAUUAUUGGGCUUAAAGCGUCCGUAGCCGGCUUAGCAAGUCUCCUGUUAAAUUCAGCGACCUAAUCGUUGACCCGCGGGAGAUACUACUAAGCUAGGAGGCGGGAGAGGUCGACGGUACUUCUGGGGUAGGGGUGAAAUCCUAUAAUCCCGGGAGGACCACCAGUGGCGAAGGCUGUCGACUAGAACGCGCUCGACGGUGAGGGACGAAAGCUGGGGGAGCGAACCGGAUUAGAUACCCGGGUAGUCCCAGCCGUAAACGAUGCGAGCUAGGUGUUGGGAUGGCUACGUGCCAUUCCAGUGCCGCAGGGAAGCCAUUAAGCUCGCCGCCUGGGGAGUACGGCCGCAAGGCUGAAACUUAAAGGAAUUGGCGGGGGAGCACCACAAGGCGUGAAGCUUGCGGUUCAAUUGGAUUCAACGCCGGAA